AUGGAAAAGAUCCAGAAAGUAUCAUUCUUAGUCCUCGCCCUUCACCUAGCAUGGGUGAGUGGUCAGCAGAAGGGGAGACCUGACCAGCAGCAGGUGAAACAAAGCCCCCAAUUUCUGACAGUCUGGGAAGGAGAGACCUCAGUUCUGAACUGCACUUAUGAGAACAGCGCAUUUGACUACUUCCCAUGGUACCGGCAGUUCCCUGGUGAAGGCCUUGAAUUCCUGAUAGCCAUAAAUUCAGUGUCAAAUAAAAAGGAAGGUGGACCAUUCACCGUCUUCUUCAGGAAAAGUGAUAAACAGCUCUCCUUGCACAUCACAGAUUCUCAGCCUGGAGACUCAGCCACCUACUUCUGUGCAGCAAGUGCACAGUGA
Molecule: non-coding RNA, 372 nt
Organism: Microtus oregoni (creeping vole)
Lineage: Eukaryota; Metazoa; Chordata; Mammalia; Rodentia; Cricetidae
Source: the annotation of a RefSeq genome assembly